UGCAACACUGAUGACCACUGGUGGCGUCUGAGUCAUGGAUGAUGAAUAGUACAUAUCUGGAACGCUGAGGUCCAA
Loxodonta africana (African savanna elephant) is the source of this 75-nucleotide small nucleolar RNA. Ensembl annotates it as small nucleolar RNA SNORD113/SNORD114 family. The record is from Ensembl. Lineage: Eukaryota; Metazoa; Chordata; Mammalia; Proboscidea; Elephantidae.